RNAcentral lists this ribosomal RNA (1130 nucleotides) under uncultured Mycoplasma sp. RNAcentral describes it as "bacterial SSU rRNA". It matches the Rfam family "Bacterial small subunit ribosomal RNA", at positions 130 to 1305 of the family's 1533-position model. The record is from RNAcentral. Lineage: Bacteria; Bacillati; Mycoplasmatota; Mollicutes; Mycoplasmatales; Mycoplasmataceae.
CCCUCUGUGGGGGAUAGCCACUUGAAAAAGUGAUUAAUACCCCAUAGGAAGCUUUAUCCAUGAUUUAGCUUUUAAAGCCUUCGGGCGCUGAGGGAUUGGGAUAUGCUCUAUUAGCUAGUUGGCGGGAUAAAAGCCCACCAAGGCAAUGAUAGAUAGCUGGUCUUAGAGGAUGAACAGCCACAAUGGGAUUGAGAUACGGCCCAUAUUCCUACGGGAAGCAGCAGUAGGGAAUCUUCCACAAUGGACGAAAGUCUGAUGGAGCAAUACCAUGUGAACGAUGAAGGCCUUUUUGGUUGUAAAGUUCUUUUACGAGGGAUAAUUAUGAUAGUACUUCGUGAAUAAGUGACAGCAAACUAUGUGCCAGCAGCUGCGGUAAUACAUAGGUCGCAAGCAUUAUUCGGAUUUAUUGGGCGUAAAGCAAGCGCAGGCGGAUGUGUAAGUUCUGUGUUAAAUGCAGCUACUCAAUAGUUGUAUGCACCGAAUACUACAUGUCUAGAUUGUGGUAGGGAGUUUCGGAAUUAAGCAUGGAGCGGUGGAAUGUGUAGAUAUGCUUAAGAACACCAGAGGCGAAGGCGGAAACUUAGGCCAUAAAUGACGCUUAGGCUUGAAAGUGUGGGGAGCAAAUGGGAUUAGAUACCCCAGUAGUCCACACCGUAAACGAUGGGUAUUAGAUAUUAGGGCUUUAGCUUUAGUGUUGUAGCUUACGCGUUAAAUACCCCGCCUGGGUAGUACAUAUGCAAAUAUGAAACUCAAAGGAAUUGACGGGGACCUGAACAAGUGGUGGAGCAUGUUGCUUAAUUCGAUAAUACACGAAAAACCUUACCAAGGUUUGACAUCCCUCGCGAAGCUAUAGAAAUAUAGUAGAGGUUAUCGAGGUGACAGGUGGUGCAUGGCUGUCGUCAGCUCGUGUCUUGAGAUGUUUGGUUAAGUCCCGCAACGAGCGCAACCCCACUCUUUAGUUACUUGUCUAAAGAGACUGCACAGUAAUGUAGAGGAAGGAUGGGAUCACGUCAAGUCAUCAUGCCCCUUAUGCCUUGGGCUGCAAACGUGCUACAAUGGCGAACACAAUGUGUUGCAAACCAGCGAUGGUAAGCUAAUCACCAAAUUUCGUCUCAGUUCGGAUAGGAGGC